This 465-nucleotide ribosomal RNA is filed under the name uncultured bacterium. RNAcentral's name for it is "partial 16S ribosomal RNA". It matches the Rfam family "Bacterial small subunit ribosomal RNA", at positions 28 to 507 of the family's 1533-position model. The record is from RNAcentral.
GACGAACGCUGGCGGCGUGCUUAACACAUGCAAGUCGAACGGUGAACUCCGCUUGCGUGGGGCUCAGUGGCGGACGGUUGCGUAACACGUGGGCAACCUGCCCUCAGCUCUUUGAUAACUCCAAGAAAUUAGGGCUAAUAUCGGUAAUGACCGCUGCCCGCUACGGCUGGUGGCGGAAAGAUUUAUCGGCUGGGGAUUGUCCCUCGGCCUAUCUGCUUGUUGGUGGUGGAGUGGCCUACCAAGGCGAAGACCGGUAGCCGGCCUGUGAGGGUGACCGGGCACACUGGGACUGAGACACGGCCCAGACUCCUACGGGAGGCAGCAGGGGGGAAUAUUGCGCAAUGGGCGAACGUCUGACGAAGCGACGCCGCGGGGGGGAUGACGGCCUUCGGGUUGUAAACCGCUGUCAGCAGGGACGAAGCGAAAGUGACGGUACCUGCAGAAGAAGCACCGGCUAACUACGUG